Phoenix dactylifera (date palm) is the source of this 621-nucleotide non-coding RNA. NCBI's taxonomy places the organism in Eukaryota, Viridiplantae, Streptophyta, Magnoliopsida, Arecales, Arecaceae. The record is from RefSeq and is a predicted model, not a curated record.
AUGGACGAUUGCCUGCAUAUUUAGCACUGGGUGGCCAACAAUUCUCAUCCCUUCCGGAAAGACGUUCUUGUUGAGCCCAUUGACAUUCGAAGGCCCCUGUCUUUACGCCAGCGUCCAUGUUCGGGUCGAAGGAAAUGUUGUGGCACCUGACAAAUUGUGGACCUCCCAAAAUACCACUAGUUGGAUCACAUUCAGAGGCAUCACUGCUUUCACCGUCGAUGGUAAUGGCCAGAUUGACGACCGAGGUUCCGUCGGAAAUGUGAUGACGUGCCUUCCAUAAUACUUUCGAAAAAGAGAAGUUGUUUUGUUUAGUUUGUUUUCUAUCAAAGGCAAGUUGUAUAUUUGAUAAUUAGGAAUCCCACCUUUUUUUGUGGUGUCUCGUAAUUGCCAGAUUAAUCAUUGUUCUUAUGACAGGCAUUUGGUAUUUACGCUGUGCGGAUUUGACCAUCGCGGGCGUCUCCGGAAGACAGCCCGACUGAUGGCAACAAUUAAAAUGUCCCAACCCAACCUGAAUUUUUUAUGGAUCUUCUUCAAUCUCCAGGAACCAACCCAUAUUUAUUUAAGGAAAGCAAGCUACAAGUGAACAUGGAGAGGACUGUCAGAGCUCAAGAAGCAUUAAUA